Nasonia vitripennis (jewel wasp) is the source of this 1376-nucleotide RNA transcript. It is a transcript of the gene named odorant receptor 222, with no coding region annotated. NCBI's taxonomy places the organism in Eukaryota, Metazoa, Arthropoda, Insecta, Hymenoptera, Pteromalidae. The transcript has 5 exons. The record is from RefSeq and is marked inferred.
UUGGAAUCGAGUCGCGGUGCCGAGUAGACUAGAGUCGCUUAAUUCGGAGAGCGAUGACAACCAAAACGAAGGAUGGUUACACCUUCUUGUCCAUAUCCUCGUCACAUCUGAUCUUCCUGCGACUCUCUUCCUUUUUGCCACUAAAGGACAAGAGCUUUUCUCACCCGUUAAGUAUUUUGCUUCAGCUCUGGGACCAUUUCGUCGUCAUGGUUUACAACUCGAUGUGGACGGGAUACGGGAUUCGCAUGAUACUACGCGGUGAAAUGGAGAUCGACUUCAUCUGCGAGAACGUGGUCGUGAUGGGUUUCACUGUGUGGUAUAUCGUGAUCCAGAUGAAGCGCCAACAAUUCUGCAGUCUCGUCAAGUUCUGUGAGAAGCUCUGGAGCUACCUCGAAGUCGGCGAGGAGGUUGUUGUGCGCCAGUUCGAACGCAAAGGCCACUACUUUCGGAACUUCAUGCUGUUCAACUUGCUCCUGAUGUGCACGUUGUUCAUUACUACAGCGCACUUCAUCAAGCUGCCGCCUUUGGAAGCUAACGGCACCGAGAGGAAAAUUCUACCAUUUAGGUUUUUCAUGGACGUUCAGGAGGAACCGGCGUACAGUGCCAUGUACACGUUGCAGUUCUUCGUUUGCUAUUUCGUCGUCUUCAUGAUCGCUAGCGCGGAGACGGUCUCGCUCUACCUGAUCAUGAUGGCUUGUGGAUAUCUGCGCUCGGUUCGGAACAGACUGUUGAGUCUGGAGGGAAACGACGAUGAUACUGGUGAAAAGGGUGAGGCCGCGUUUAAGCUGGUUGUCGGCUGCGCGUAUUUUCAUCAACAGAUUUUGAUAUUCUGCAAAGACAUAGAACGCAUGACGCGAACGCUCUUUCUCUUCGCCUGCUUCUGUCCGAUUUACAACGCGUCCAUCACGGGUAUCGUCCUUCUCAACAACGACGAGGACAAAUUCAAGUUCAUCCUGAACCUGUUCUACAAUUUUUUUCAAUUUUUCCUCUGCCAGUGGGCUCCGGAAUACCUUUCCGAAGAGAGGCCGCUUACUUUGCGAGCUUGCAACCACUGGCAUCAAGUCACCGGCAGAAGAUCAAUCGAAUAUUGUUUUUCAUGAUGAUGAGAGCCCAGAAACCGGUACAACUUACAGCUGGUGGGUUCGUUAAGUUAUCUAUCGAAACAUUUGGCGCGAUGUCAAAGAAUGCGUUCUCUUUCUUUAUGGUUUUGCAAAACUUUCGGAGUUGAAGCGACAGUAUUUAUUUUUACUUUAUUCUGUUUGAACAUAUUAAAAACCUUUUACAAAAGAACAGCAUGCAGGUAGAAGAUGAAGCGAUAAUUUGUAAAACAAUAAAUGUAUGAGGGAUACGAAUUUGAUUAUAUCGGUGUAAAUGUG